This 20954-nucleotide long non-coding RNA is filed under the name Coffea arabica (coffee). RNAcentral describes it as "long non-coding RNA (CARA_LNC002415)". The record is from RNAcentral. Lineage: Eukaryota; Viridiplantae; Streptophyta; Magnoliopsida; Gentianales; Rubiaceae.
AGUGGGUUUUGUAGUCGAUUUCUUUAGAGUCCACCACUAGUUUUGCUCUGUCAGCUAUUAGUGAUCUGGCCUACUGCCUAUUGGCAUAUUCUCUGUUUUUAUCUUUCUGUUAUUUUCUCUCAUUUUGAGUUGGCAAUUUCACGUUGAAAACAUUUCACUUUCUUAUUUUUAAUCCCAAAUUGUUUUACAGAGGUGAAAUUGGCAAUUAAUUCCCCACUAUUUUAAAGUUGUUUAUUGGUUACAAGAUGUCUUUGUACAUGCCUUAAAGGAAACAAAAUGAAGAUCAACUGUUAAUAAAAUUUGUGAAACACCUCAUGUCUACCUUCAAGUACCCUCUGAUAGCAGAGGCAUCUGAUCCCUAGCUUUCUGGCUUGGAAUUGCAGAAAAGCAUACAAAAUCUACUCAGCAAAGGCUAAGGCCUUAUCCACUUCCCAUUUUUCUUUAGCAUUGUAGGCCCACUAGACAGCGGAUGACUAUUGACCAACUCAGUCAGUCGCGGCGCCCCUACGCAGCACGUUAGAAUUUAGAAAUAGCGACGCCAAUACGAAUGAAGGCCCCUCUUUCUGUCUCCCUCCUCCUCAGUAUUCGACUAUUUUCUUCAAUGGCUUCCAAUGCCCGAUUGCUCUUUCCCCUUGUUCUGAUUUGCUUCUGCACUGUUACCAUAGCCAAAGAAGGACCCUUUUUGCCAAAUUCUGUAAUUCUUCCGGUGACAAAAGAUAUUGCAACACAUCAGUACGUGACACAAAUAUACAUUGGUGAUCAACCCCUCGCUCCAACCAAACUUGUGAUAGAUAUUACUGGUUCAUCUUCUUGGAUUGAUUCUGCCCAUCUGCUAUCUUCAUCUGGGCAUCCCAGGCCCUUUGGUUGUUUUUCAUUGCAGUGCUCAUUGGCAGAGGCUAAUAGCUGCACCAGGCCCAGCAGGACUAGUCGCAAUACUUGUACUCUUGAAGCAGAAAAUCCCAUCACAAAUAUGGUCACCAGAGGAGAGUUAACAGAAGAUAUCAUAGCUGUGCAAGUCACUGAUGGGAUAAAGACAGGAUUAGCUUCUGUUCCUCAUUUUCUGUUUUCAUAUGUGCCUGCAUUAUUACUGCGGGGAUUGGGUGAUGGUGUCAAAGGUGUGUUAGGCCUCGGAAACACUAGAAUUUCACUACCAUCACAAGUUGCUGAUGCAUUUAGCUUCCAGAGGACAUUUUCUUUGUGUCUGUCAUCAUCAAAUGGGGCUCUGAUCGCCGGCGAAAUUCCUUAUGUUUUACCUCAUAAUAAUGACGUUGCAAAGUCAUUAAUGUACACACCCCUUGUCUUUAGAGAAGGUAGCAAGGUGCAAGGUUACUACAUUAAUGUGAAAUCCAUCAAAAUCAACGGCAAGAAGUUGUCGAUUAAUGAAUCGCUGUUAUCGGUAAAUCAAGAAGGUGUUGGAGGGACCAAAAUCAGCACAACAGUUCCCUCUACCACCAUGGUCAGCACAUUGUAUAAUACAUUUAUUAAGGCCUAUAUCAAGGCAGCAAUUGGUAUGAACAUGACCAUGGCGCCUCCUGUGGCACCAUUUGGGAUCUGCUUCAGAUCAGAAGGGUUGGAGGCCAAUAGGGAUGCAUCUAAUGUGCCAAUUAUUGAUCUUGUGCUGCAAAGUGAGAUGGUUAAGUGGAGAAUUGAGGGGAGGAAUUCGUUGGUGCAGGUUAAUGAUAAAGUUAUGUGCUUGGGGUUCUUGGAUGGAGGAUCGAGCUCAAAGGAUUCUGUCGUACUAGGAGGUUAUCAAUUGGAGGACAAUUUGCUGGAGUUCAAACUUGGAACUAAAAUGCUAGGAUUUUCUGCUUUGGCGAUGGGACAUACAACUUGCUCUAAUUUAAGGUCAAGUUAUAUCCCUAGGGAAGCAUUUUGAUUCUUGGUUUUGUUGAAAAGUUCUAGAUGUGACUUAGGAGACAGAUGACCCUUGUACAUGUUAGGGUCCAACUCAUUGGAAGUAGCUGUUUAGGAUUUUAGCUGAAUCAAAAUAUAACAUCCCUUACUGAGAGCUUGUAGAAUUACUUGUGAAACUUUCUGUGUAACUUAAAAAGUUUUCUUUGAUGCAUCGUGAUUAAUUCAUACUGAGCAUUAGUCUCUAAUAUCUCGGUCCUCCUGUGCUUACAUUUUGUGGUUUCUGACCAAUCGCGAUUAAUAUCAUCAUUGUUUUGCAAUGCGUUUAGUUCAGAAUAUCAAUUGAUCACUAUGCAAUCUGGACUAGCCAUUUGCUCAAACGUUGUAGUAGGCUCCAAAGAACCAGUCGGUGGCUGCAUACUCUAAUACGUCACCAGAAAAUCCUAUUCAGGAAUCCGAUAUUCCUGCAUGCAAAUAUUCACCUGUCAGUUUAACAUGAGCUGAUCAUAUGAUUCAAUGGAACUGACCUGCAACGGCAGCAUCUCUAAUACUGGAACGUCUGAAGACCCAUAGGAUCAGAAACCAUACUCCUUUUCAUAUUCUCUCAAAUCAGCCAAAGAACUCCACUGGUGCCAAUAAAACUCACACUAGAUCUUGGUGGCGAAUCCUUAAUGGGUCGGUUGCGAGAAAGGCUACACCAGCUCAACAUAUCAGCGUGUCCAUUGCCGUUCAUCUCUCUGUUCAUUUAUCAAUACCCCUUUUGGAUGCGGCACAUGCCAUGAUGGUCCAAAACCAGCCUGCAACAACCAUGCAUGUUAAGUCUCACAAGAAAACACCAUAGUUCAUAUUCAAACCAUUGGUGAGCUUGCCAAAGAUGUCAUCUCCCUUCGUUCUACUCAUGGAUCAAAUCCUGGCCCUGUUGUUUCAGUUCCAUACAGAGUCUUGGAAAGGUCAAUUUACGGUGCUGUUACUAAUGUUUUCAUUGAUUCAGUAGCAAAAGUCCCUAGAGUGAAAGCUGUGGCACCAUUUAAGGCACGUUAUAGUGCAAAAAGCCUUGGUUCUAUACGUGUUGGUCCUGGUGUUCCAUCAAUUGAAUUUGUUUUGCAAAGCAGGAGUGUUUUUUGGAACUUUUUUGGAGCAAAUUCAAUAGUGCCUGUUGGAAAUGAAGUUUGUGUUUCGGAUUUGUAAAUGGAGGCGUAAAUUCUCCUGCAGAAUCUAUUACAAUAGGAGGAUAUCAGCUUGAGAAUGCGCUUUUGCAAUUUGAUCUAGCAAGAUCAAGGUUGGGGUUCCUGUCUACAACCUUGGGCCGCCAAACUACUUGUCCCAACUUCUACUUUACUUCUAAAGGUUGAAAAAUUGGUAGUAGAGAUGAAAAGUCUUCCAACAAACAAGUUAGGGAGUGAUUUCUUAGCGAGUGAAUUCCUUCUAAUAUCUCAGUUGCUAAUAAAUUCCACUUGUAACUCCUGCUUUUGAAUAAAAGAUAUUUGUUGGAACUGGAAUUUGACUACAUUUUCUAACAAAGUUAAAAUCUUCGUUUAAACUUAAUCUAUUACAUGAGAAAUGUGAAACAGGAUACAACUCCUUCAGUUUCAGCUGCCAGAGCCAAAUAUUUAAGUAUAAAAGCAUGAUAACUACUUGGAACUUGGAGCUGAGUACUGUAUGUUGAAUGUUUCAACUUCUGAUCUGUCAUGUGCCCCAGUCUUUGCUCAAUAUGAAACCAGAUAUGCAGAUUUGGACCAACUAGCACCUUUCACUAUUCUUGCCAAUGUACAAUAUCUUCUAGUCUGUGCUGUAUUACACUACAUUCAUAUGCUUUUAAUAUGAAAUCCGAUAGCAGAUUUGGACCAACUAGAAUUUUUUGACUAAUUUUUUUUCCAAUGUACAACAUCCCUGUGGUCUGUAUUGUCUUACGCUACAUUCAUGUCCUUCUAUAAAGUUGACAAGCUGUAGUUUGAUCGUUGACUUACAUGAUAAGUCAACCAUCCAAUUUGAUAAGAAAGGGACUUACCAGAAUUAGCAAUGCCUAACAGUACCCUCCAGAGAAGAUUUAGAAGAAAUCAACUACACGUAUAACAAGUCUCCAGCUUAUGCAUCCAAACUGUUCAAGUCAUAAUUUCCAUGGCUUCCAAUCUUUGCAAUAUCUUUCAGUUUUUACUCUACUCUCUUUUCCUUUUCAUCUCUAUCUCCACAGCCCAAACUUCCUUUAGUCCCAAGGCACUUGUGCUCCCAGUAACAAAAGACUUGUCAUCCUCCCAAUACCUUACCCAAAUUAGCCAGCGAACUCCUUUUGUUCCUGUAAAACUAAGCAUUCAUCUUGGUGGCCAGACCUUAUGGGUAGACUGUGAACAAGGCUUCACGAGCUCAACUUAUCGGUCAGCAAUUUGCGGUUCACCUCAAUGCACAAUUGCCAAGCCUAAUACCUGUUAUAACUGCACCUCCUCCCCAACACCAAGGCCAGGGUGCAACAAGAAUGCAUGUUUGAAUACACCUGAAAAUCCUUUCAUUAACACUUUAUAUGAUGGUGGUGAAAUUGCUGAGGACGUGGUAUCAAUCCAAUCAACUGAUGGAUUCAAUCCAGGACAAUUUGUUAAGGUACCGCAGUUCAUUUUCACCUGUGUUCCAACUUUUCUCACUGAAGGUCUUGCUAGUGGAGUUAAAGGCACAGCAGGUUUGGGAAGAAAUGACAUAGCACUCCCUUCUCAGUUUGCUCGGGUUUUUGGCUUCGCAAGAAAAUUUGCAAUAUGUUUGAGUGCUUCCACGAGUUCUAAAGGUGCUGUAUUUUUUGGUGAUGGCCCUUAUAUCAUGCUUCCUAAUAUUGAUAUCUCCAAGUCUCUUACCUAUACUCCAUUGUUUAUUAAUCCAUUUGGAACUGGAUACGUCCCCUACUUAAAUGAGUCAUCCUCUGAGUACUUCAUUGGGGUGAAAGCUAUCAAUAUCAAUGGUAAAGCAGUGCCAGUCAAUAGAAAAUUGUUGGCCAUUGACAAGAGAGGCAAUGGUGGAACUAAAAUCAGCACUGGCAGAGCUUAUACAGUUAUGGAAACUUCAAUAUAUAAUGCAGUUUCCAAGGCUUUUGCUGAAGAGCUUUCUAAUGUCACUAGGGUGGCAUCAGUUGCUCCUUUUGGAACAUGUUUCAGCUCUAAUAGUAUUGGCAGCACACGCGCUGGACCAGCAGUUCCUCCCAUUGAUCUUGUCUUGCAAAGCAACAAUGUGUUUUGGAGAAUUUUUGGUGCAAAUUCAAUGGUGCAGGUGAACAAGGAUGUUAUUUGUCUGGCUUUUGUUGAUGGAGGUGUUAGACCUACCACCUCAAUUGUCAUUGGAGGAUAUCAGAUUGAGGAGAAUUUACUGCAAUUUGAUAUUGCCAAUUCAAGGCUGGGAUUCAGUUCUUCACUUCUGUUUCGCCAAACAACAUGUGCCAACUUCAACUUCACAUCUCGAGCUUAAAGAGCUUCGAUUCAUUUUCCAAUUUCCAAUCCAUAGGCAAUAGACAACUAUUUUCUGUAAUAGUUUCCUGGAAUGAAUAAGCAGACCAGCUGCUGCCGCGUGAAAAUUUGUGGUGUGGGGGUUUGUGUAAUAGUUUGCUGGAAUGAACAAGCAGCCCAACUGAUGCCGCGUGAAAAAUUGCAUUUAUGAUGAUUACUUGUCACAUCUACGGAUUCAAGAUAUUCUUCACUAUUUAGCAUUAAAGCAAACUGUUUUAGUACAUUUUAUGAAGACUAACGAAACUUGAGCCUGCGAUAUCGAGGCAGUAACUAAGGAUGGCCUUUGUGGAUAAUUUCAAAGUCAAAAUAUCUCUUAGUUGUCAAUCAACUGUUUUAAGUCAAUGGUAUUGCUUGUUAGCUUUGGUCAGACAAUUUGAAUCGACCAUAUCAUUUCUUUUCUUUUUUUUUUAUAGCAUUCCAGCUCAUUAUUCUCCAGCAAUCUCCAUAAUAAUCACCAAAGAUUGUAGAAAAGCACCUAGCUGAUAAUUAUGCAUCUUUCUAAGUUCUUCCUGCUUCUGCUGGCCUUCAUAGCAUAUGAAGUCUCUGCAGCUCGACCUCACAAAACGCUUGUUGCAUCCAUCGCUAAAGACACCAAAACUUCCCUUUACAGCAUUAGACUUAACAUCAAUGAGCACUACGUCAUUGACCUCAGUUCUCCUUUUCUGUGGUAUAACUGCCCACUGCAACACCCUCUUGUGAUCUGCAGAUCACCUCAGUGCUUGCAAGCCCAGUCUUACCCUCCACCCUCUUGUAUCCUAGAAUCUAAACAACAACUCCCGCAGGUACCAUGUACUUGUCUGGUCACACCUGUAAAUCCUGUCACCAAAUUGUGUGCCUCGGCCCAGUUGACAUACAAAAAUUUCGCUAUCUCCUCAAUAAACGGUAGUACUCCUACUGGUAGCAUAACAUUCAGUAAUACUUAUGUAUCUUGUGCACCUGACUCCCUCUUGAAGUCCCUGCCUAAAGGAGCUAUUGGCUUGGCUGGCAUUUCCACGGCACCUUUGGCUCUAGUGUCUCAAUUUACUCCUUCAUUUCUUGGACUAAGCAAGAAGUUCGCAAUCUGUUUGCCUGACACAGAUGCAGCCCCUGGCCUGGUCUUCUUUGGGGAUGGCCCGUAUAAUCUGCUGCCUCCAACAAAUUUUGAUGUAGCAAGCAUUCUCACUUACACUCCAUUGCAAAAGAUUCCAAAAUCACCAGAUUAUUACAUUGACAUUAAGGCUAUUUCAAUAGGUGGAAAGGCGAUUCCUGUUCCAAGAAAGUCGCUAGCAGCUGAUAAAUUAGGCCACAGCGGGGUGAAGCUCAGCACAGUUGUCCCUUACACCACACUGAGAGCUGAUGUUUACAAGGCAUUUGUCAACAGUUUUAUAGAGUCCACUCAGGGCCUUCCUCAGCUAAAUGCAGUGAAGCCAUUCAGAUUAUGUUUCAACUCUACUGCAAUUGGCUUUAGUCGGGUUGGUUUGCAUGUGCCUCCGAUUGACUUGGAGUUGGCAAAUGGCAAGAAUUGGACAAUAUUUGGCGCAAACUCUAUGAAGCAAGUCAGUGAAGAGAUAGCCUGUCUGGCAUUUGUCAAUGGUGGGAAGACAGCUGAACAGGCAGUUCUGAUUGGAUCAUUCCAGAUGGAGAAUAACUUUUUACUGUUUGAUCUAGCAAAGUCAACGCUGGGCUUCAGUUCUUCCCUGUUCUUUAUUAGGACCACAUGUGGUAACUUUAAUUUUACAAAUGUACCAUGAUCUCAAAAUAUCUUCUGAAGAUCAACCGAAAAAUAAAUCAAAUUGCCUCAGGUGUCAGGAUCCAACGAAAUAAGAUUGCUUUUAUUUAGGGAAACUAAGAUGAAGCAUUUAUUCCCAAUUGAAUUAUCAUUAAUUGCAUUACCAAUGCAUCAUUUGGCAAUCAGGAUUCAUCUGGUCAGGCAUCAUUGUUGGAAUCACUAACAAGUUAUUUUCAAGUGGAAGGUUGGAUUCUCAACAAUUCCUUGCCUCACUGUUGCCUUGCUGUUAUUUUCAUCUUAUCAUGGUUAGGCGUAAAAGACUACUAUUUUUCGAACUUGGACAUUAAAAGAUUUGGCGCCUGUUUAGCUUGACGAAUAGAUGAUAACUGUCAUCAAUGAAUCGCAUAUUUUUGAAAGAUUAACCAAAUUUAUGCAUGGGAAAUGAUGGUCAUCAGGCCCCUUGAUCAGGCUUUCUAUGGCCUGCAAGCAUGGUGGUUCUGUUUAUUGUACCUAGAAUGGUAAUCAAAGUUUAUAUUGCAUGAAGCUAGGCACACUCCAACGAGAAAAUGCUGUCUUAUAUAGCCUUUAUUACCUGUUCAUGAGCUAAUAUAUCUAUUGUUUGGACAAUUCUUAUUGCUGUUCCUGAAUCACAAUCUACGGCUAUCACAGAUGAGUUUCCGUUUACCAAGUGAUCUUACAGAAUUUGUUGACCAAAUAGGCUACCGUAUUAUACAACAAUAUUUGUAUGACAGCUGAAAACAUACACUAGUCCACAAUCUGCAUAGUUCCAACUUCCAAGUACAGGUUAAUGUAAACCAGAAGCGAAGAAAUGAUCACAUAUAUGAUUCAACCAAAAGUUGAAACAGUUAGGUAGAAAAUAGCUCAUAUCCCGUUUAUUUACAGGCCAUUUAAGAAGCAUGAAUUAUUUCUUUUCUCAAGCCAAAGGAACGCAAAGAUUGUGCUGAAGGAUAUACACUAGACCUCUCGAGUGUCUGUCCGCCAAUUAAGAUCUCAGACAAUGCGAAGACCAAAAAAAUCUCCAAUAUUACAUCGUCAGGCAGAAACUGCAUAUAUAUACCAGAGGAACAUAAUGAUUAAGGACAAAAAAAUAAAAUAAAAUAAAAUUCUUUGCCAUAAUCUUGUAUUCUGAGUUUCACCCCACUGAGAAUCUGCAUAAGGUUGAUCUGUCAUGAAAUCCUUGCCUGAGGAUCCACCGACUCUUGAUGUUUCAAUUGAUGCGCUGGUCAGCAACCAAUUAAAGAAUGAUCAAGAAAUGGGGACUGAUGCAAAACCAAUCAGUGGAGAACCUCUGCAAGAAAAUCAGUCUUUUCGUGGCUUCCCACGUGCAAUGUGCCCAGGUCUCCGGAAGGUAACAGAUCGCCUGAACUUACUUUCUUGUUUUAGUACCAGAGCAAUACUAAUGUUUUUGUUAGUGUAGCUGUCACUUAGUUUUACCUAAUCAGGUUGACAAGCCUUUCCAAAAUGCAGGUUUUGGCUGAAGCAGUAGGGACUUUCAUAUUGGUUUUCUGUAUAUGUGGAAUCAUUGCGAGCAUGGAGUUAAUGAAAGGUCAGAUAGGACUAAUGGAAUAUGCAACAACAGCAGCUUUAACGGUGGUGGUUUUAGUUUAUGCUAUUGGUACCAUCUCUGGAGCUCAUGUUAACCCUGCAAUCACAAUUGCUUUUGCAACUGUUGGUCCAUUUCCCUGGUCCACGGUACACACUCCAUUCCAACUACCAACAUCAAAAUGGUCUUUCCAUACAGUAAUUGAUGCAUUCUCCAAAUUGUUGUCAAGGUUCCACUUUAUUUAUCAGCACAGCUUGGAGGUGCUGUCCUGGCAACCUAUGCAGGAAAGUUUGUCUAUGGCUUACAAACAGAUUUGGUGUUGACAAAACCGUUCCAUGGACGCAGUGCUGCAGCCUUUUCUGUUGAGUUCAUUGCAACAUCAAUGGUUGUAUUCUUAGCUGCAGCUUUGGCAAAUGCACCAGAAUCUGUAAGAUAAUGAGCUGCUCUUUUUCAUCCCUUCAUUUUUAUUUGACUCCUUUUUGCCUUCUGGGAGGGGAAAGAGGCCAAGUACAGGUACCUAGCUGAACUCCAGAGAAAUUCACAACCUCCUAAAUUCCAACCACAAAACUACUAUUAUCACAUCUUUAGUUGCAACAUGCAAUCCAUAUGACAAUGUUUCUUGAAAAUGACCUAAAAAUUAAACAAAACCAAUAAGAUGAAUCUUACAAAUGCUUGUGAUAUGGGAAUUGUACAGGUACAGAACUUGUCUGGAUUUGUGGUUGGAGGAGCUAUUGGGCUUGGAGUGCUCAUCACAGGGUAAUACCAGUUUCAACUGCAUCUUGCAAACACUUUGUUCCAUAUAUUUAACACACAAUAAAAUCUAAUCACCAUUCAUUUUCUUCUUAAACAUUUUUUAUAUGCAUUUUGCAGGCCUAUCUCAGGAGCAUCAAUGAAUCCAGCAAGAUCACUGGGACCAGCAAUUGUUUCAGGGGACUUUACUUUCCUGUGGAUCUAUCUUGCUGCCCCAACUCUAGGAGCCAUUUUUGGUGCCAUCUUGUAUCGCCUCAUCCGUCUUCAAGGCUGGCCUUGCCAACCAAGUCCCUCAAAAAAUUGAAAUGCUCCUCUGCUUUAAAGUUGCAUCUAAUGCAUGAUUAUUAUACACUGAAACAAAAAAUGAUGACUAUAUACUGUUAGCCACAAAGCUUGAUGGUACCCAAAAUUGACUUUCUUGAAAACAUCUGGUUGCUGCAUUCUCCUAUAUUAUUUAUAAGUAACGAGGGAGAUUUCUGAAUCGAGAUGUAAGCAUGUAAUCCAGUGGGCCAAUGUACAAUACAUUAUUGUUCAAAUCCAGCAUCAUGGUUAAUUCUGAACUCUGAUUGGCUCAUUUUUCAUAUUUCUCAAUGCUUCAGACUCUCUCUCAUUUCCGAAAUCUAAUAGGUCACCAAAUUUAAUAUUGGAUUAUUAAGAUUACUAAGCAAACAAAAAAAAAAAAAGCCCAUUAAAUGGAUGCUUUUGAUGUGAAAAUUUAAGUAGCAUAAAUUCGGAUGUAGUGAGAUCUUACCUAUUUCUAAAUCAUUUGUCUGAUACAAUUUUUUUUUUUCUGACAUUUUCUUACGAAAGUAAGAAUUUUUGGCAAAUAAACCUAACUCCCCACAGUAACUCCAAAAGCCGGUAACUUGUGGAGUCCUGUGAGGGACUUAUAAACCUAAACCCCAACCCCCCCAUUCCCGAUGUGGGAUAGAAAACCCCACAGGGGUGCCCUGCUGCUAAGAGAUAAAGACCCCUCAAGCCCCCUGAGAAUGAGUUUUCUUUCUGACAUUUUCUUACGAAAGUAAGAAUUUUUGGCAAAUAAACCUAACUCCCCACAGUAACUCCAAAAGCCGGUAACUUGUGGAGUCCUGUGAGGGACUUAUAAACCUAAACCCCAACCCCCCAUUACCGAUGUGGGAUAGAAAACCCCACAGGGGUACCUGAUACAAUUACUCAAGGGUUUUUUGGGGAUAGGGGAUAAGGUCAGGGAAUUUGUCUAAAGAGGCCAUCCCAUCAGCAAAAAUAAGUAGGCCAAAAAAAAAAAAAGCAAAAAAACUAGUCUAUUUCAGGAUAACUUUCACUAAGAAAAUUAGCCCAUUUGAAAAUGACAACUGCUAUAUAUAUAUAUAAUAAGCCCAAAAUCGUUUGAAGAAAAACCUGUCACCAUCUUCCACACAUCCUGAGAGCUGAGAAGACAUUUUAAUUCAGCAGUAGGGUGUGGAAAAGAAAUUGGCACCUCAAGAUGAGUCAUCACUCAUGACUUAAUUCAUAUACAAGUACAUGCAUGUCCACAUCGGUAUGUAUUGGAUUUUUUUUAUCUGUGGCAAAUGGCGGAGAUGAUAACAGCGUGGUGAUCUGGAGAAAUACGUAGAUGAUGGAGAUGUCUGCCCACGGGACCACUUCGGAUAUAAUUGCUCCUUAAGAUUAAUUCUUUUCAGUUGGGAUCUUCUAUUGAUGAGUUUGUAGAAGGCGUGAUCAAUGGAAAUUCUUAUCCUUACGGAGUGAAUUUUCAAAGAAUGACACUUUUUAAAAAGAAUUCCUAAAUGUUGAUGUUUCUCAAACUUUUUUCCGUAAGGCAAACGUAUUCAGCAAAUGCAAUUGGUUUCUUUAAAAGUCUUGAAGAAAAGCACAUUCAUCGAUUUAUCAACACAAGUUAGCUCAAUUGUUGACAAGAGCAAGUCACUUUUUUGUUCGAAUUUCACUGUCAAUAUGAGAACAGUAUUGAUGAGCGAUUUAUAAAAGUCUCUAUAAGCGACUUAUGGUGCUGUAUUUGUGGGCGAUUUGUAAAAAAUUUUAUAAGCGACUUAUGAUUUUAGAGGUAUGUCCUGGACCAUGGCAGUGAUCAGAGUCAAACUGGCCAAAUUUUUUUCUACCAAAAGAAAAAAUCGAAUGAAUUUUUUGUUACUUGUAUAGGCACAAAUUUCUUAAACAACUCAUUCACCGGAUGCGUUGUUGAAAAAAAGUUGUUCAAUCCCUUAUGAGAUAAACCUUCACUGUUUGGGAACUAAUUUCAAAUAAGGACUUUUCUCCACCCUUAUGAGAUGGAUGUCCUGACUUGUGAGCAAAAGGAUAAAGAGGUGAAACAAGAUAUGUCCUCUUAUGACAAACUAAAAAGUUUAAGAUUAACAAAAAGCCUCGUGGGAAUUAACCCUUCUUUCUUUUUUUUUCAAAAGAUUUUAUUAACAGAAAUAUUGUGAGAUUUAAGAAGUGGAAAAAGUAUGAUUUAACCGGGCUCUGUCUAUAAAUGCACUAAGAAGAGAGGUUUGCACUUUAUAAAAUUCUAACAUUAUCACUGCCCCUCAUAAAUUAAUUAUAGUUCACAUAAAAAUUAUAAAUUUUAUGGACCAGAUAAUAGCGGACAGAUAUUUUAUCUAGUCUUAGGGCAAAAAUAUAGAAGAAUUCGAAAAUAUGGACCACUUUACAAUACUUAGAAAACCGAUUAAUGUUUUGUUUUACAGUCGAUGUCAAAGCAUCCCCUAUGGAUAAACAACAGGUGCCCAAAAGGGUCACCUCCCAACAGCAAAAAGCCAUUGGGAUUGAAGAAAAUCUAAUGACUUUAUCCCUGCAAUGGUCACUUUCAAUUUUUGAAUGCUCCCAGGGUCAAGGGAGAAAAAAGAAAAAAAAUAAGUGGUCAGUUUUAAUUAAAGCAAGAAAAAGAAAUUGAGAUAGGAUUUUGUCCAAUAGCAAUAACUACAAUAAUCUUGGUUGUGCUAAGCCAGAGCCCCACUUCCUUUUAUAUCUGUUGUUGGAUCAAUCAAUUUCACAAUCUUAAUAUAAAAUCCAGUGACAUUUCAUUUAUGAGUGGUUAAUUUUCAUCCGUUGAGAUUCUUUGCAUAUUUCACAAGCGUGACGGACCAUCAAGGCAACAAUCAGAUCCCUCAAAUAGCCCAUUCAGCUUUGGUCCACCGCAACAAUUAUUCAUCAUCUACGUGGCCAAGUCCUGCGGUUGGAAAAUCGAAAUCCCAUUAUGAUCACCUAUUGACAUCUUCUUCUCUUUCUCCUUUCAUCAGAUUGACUUAUGGCAUAUUUACGGUAUCUAGGGUUAAAACCAUCGAUUAAGAUUAUUUUGCAAAGUAUGUUAUUUCUUGAUGUUUAUUUCCAUAUUUCAUUCGGGAUAAUGGUUUGUUUUUUUUCUUUUCUUUUCGUUUUGUUUGCUUCUCCUUCUCAAGAAACGAGAGAAUGGUAAUUGAUGUUCACUGUUAGACAUGUCAAUGUAUAAGAUUUAUAUUAGAUCUCUUUUAUUCAAAUUUAAAUCUAUUAAAUUUAGUUAGAUUUAGACAUAGGUCUAGAUCUUUAUGGAUUUGAAAAGUAAAUUCAAAUUCAAACCCUCAUGGUUCGAAUAUCCAAUGAUAUUCGUUAGUUUUUUUCUGAUCAUAAAGUAAAAAACUAAAAUAAAAAUAUUUCCAAAAACAAAUUGAGAGAUGGUAGGGCAAAAGAAAGUAGAUUGUGAGAUUUCUAAUUAAACUAAUUAAAGAGGGAGAUGAAAACCAUAGUUGUUGAACCCAACGCAAUAAAGAAUCUGGCAAAGGGACUGGUCACUGGUUCAACAAGUAGGUCACUGGUUGAACCGACGAGUAUUAAUUUAAUAUUUAUAAAUAUAAAAUAGCAAUUUUAAUAUACAUAAAAUAUAUAAUAAAGUGCUUUUAGAUACUAAUUAUUAUACUUAGAAUGAUAUAUAAUAAAUAUAUAGAUAUUAAUAGAAGAUUUAAUUCCAUUUUAUCGCACUUUUAAAUAAAUAAAUAAUAUAGUCGAGUAUAAAACAAAAUUUAUAUCACUUGUUUUCAAAAAUAAAGUGUUAUUUUACAUUAUUUUAUUUUUAUUUAUAAAAUAAAAUAAUUUUCUAAUUAAUCAAAUAUUGUCAGUUUAAAAGUUAAAAAGAUUAAUUAUAUAAUAAAAAAAUAAACAAGUUUAUUACAAAAUGUUUAGUUAUAAAAUAAAAACUAAGUAAGUGCUAAAGUCUAUAUAUAUUUAAAUGAAGAUCCAAUGUACAAAUCUUAUCAAAAGCAUAUAUAUAUAUAUUUUUGUUUCAAAAAAAAAAGACCCACAAUUGAAAAAAAGGUAAAUCGGAUCAAUUGAAAAACCAGGUAGGUUCCCAAUUAAACCACCGGGUCAAUUGAAUUUGUCCGAGUUUGACCGGAUCAAUUGCUUGUCCGGUCAAAUUAGAGACCCGACUUAGUUUAAUGCCGGAGUUACCGGGUCGACCAGUUCAACCGUCAGACGGGGUCAGGUUUAAUAACUAUGACGAAAACAAUAGAAGCGCGUAAUAGAUAGGUAGAAUUAGAUGAUAUUUUCUUAGGUUAAGAGUGUAUUAUUUAAUCUAACAACCAUGAAAUCUUAUUGUAUUCGAUCCAUGGUCAUAAAUAUAUUAAAUUAUUUUAUAAAUUUAUUGAUAUAUAUAUAUGUGUAUAUAAAUGGAUUUGGAAAAGAUCUGAUUUGGAUUUGAAUUUGAAUAUGAAUUAUAAAAAAUCAAACCCUAUCCAAACUAUGACUCUUUUAUAGGGUCUGGGUUUGGAUUUCAAAAAUUAUAUCCAAACCCUAUCCAAAUACAUUGGAUCGGGGUUGAAUUUGAGUAAAACUCGACCCACUUUCACGGCUAUUCCCUAUGUUUUCAAAUAGCUUUAUGGGAUUUCAAUGAUGAAUGAAAAUUUUGUCCGAAUAAACAACUAGUAAACAUUAAUUUUGUUGCUUCACUCUUCUUUAACGAGGGGGCCCUGAAUAAAGAAAAAAAAAAGUGGAGCUCCAAUUUGAUAUGAAAAAAGUGCUAUUAUCCAUGGGCAUAUGCACUUAAUCCAAGAAGGAAAGUAUAGCACCAUCAUUGGCUGGACAAUUCUCUACGCAAACGCUUUGUAUAUCUCACCUGCAAAACUUUUUCAAGCGAACAAAUCCUAUUGAAUAAUGAAAAAUGCGAACACAUAUGACAAAGUCAAAUUAGCUUAUUAUAAUUUCGAACUAAAUAUUACAUGGAAUAGAUGGUAUGGCUCAAAAAAAAAAUAAAAUUCUUGGCUUCCUUGCGAAUAACAAUUUUUUGCUUUUCUUUAUUCUAAAGAAGAUAAAGAAAACAAAAAAAAACAAAAAAAUUGGUAUAACAAUUAACUGUUUGAGUUAAUUUUUUAUACAUUCACAAUGUAUUUAUAAUCAGGUAUGAAUGUAUGUCAUAUAUGUAAAAUUUAGAUUUAAAAUGAAAUUAAGUUUAGUUAUCAUGUAUAUUAUUCUAAUAAUAUAUGCACUGCUAGUGAUAAAAAACUAAUUCUUAAUUAUUUUGAUGUAAAAUUUUUUUUAAAAAAAGAAUAAAGCUACAAUAGAGGGUUUCACCGCCACCGCCAUAGUGCCUGCGAAUACCGUGGGCAUUGCAAUCACCAAGUUGUAUGUUUAAUCAGCAGUGUACAUGUAGCAUAUUUUAUGGCAAUUAUAAUAAUUAUAAAUUUAGUAAAUUAUAUGGAUUGUCUUCCUCCUCAUUGCCGCCGCUUGGACAAGACAAUACGGAACCAACAAAAAGAAGAAAGCGAUGUAGAAGUAGAACUCGAGGGAAGAAAGCAAAUUGAAUGCCUUCGUUGUGCUGCCAUUGAAAAUUCUCCAAAAGAAUAUUUUCCAUAUUUUACAAGAAGCAUUUAGGUUAAAUUAGACUGAGAAGAUUUUUCUAAACAUAAAGAUGUUCGAAGACAAAAGUUAAUGAAGAUUAAUCGAAAGCUUCUCUACUAUGCAAAUCCCCAUUUAUUUAAACUUAUUUUUUUUCAAAUAAAAUUUAUAUAUACUGAUAAUAUAUAUACGAUAUCAUCGUUGAAUCCAUAAAUCUUGUACAAAUGUUGAAUUUCAAAUUUGAAUACUGUAUAAUUGUCAUUCAUUUAAAAUUGACAAUAAUGUAUACACUGUCGGUCAGUAUACGAAAGAUUUUUUUUUUUUUUUUUUUGGAUAUAACAGCAGUAUACAAAAUUACAACCUCAUGGUAUGUAUAGCAAUUUUGCGUUAGAACAGAAGAAUAGACCAAAUGGUUGAUGUAACCAGACCAAUUGCCACGGAAUCUUGCAUCCCUCCAUGUUAGAUGGUAUCUCUCUGACAAGAAAUACACUAAUUAUUUAGCAUUCUUAAUUAGUCUGGCCGACUAGGACAGCCACUAGAAUAAUUCACUUUCGUAGUUUUGUCCGACUGAUCUAAAUAUCUAAUCUGUUCCUUUCCCCCUGGGCCAGCAGACAGAAUAUUGUAUGCUAUUUAAUCUCUACAUUCAGGGGUACUGACACUAAUUAACACACUUUAUAGUACGCUAACCAAGUUGGGCUUAACGUGAGAAUUAUCAUCUAACCUGCCCCGGAAUUAGAUCAGCACAUUGAAAGUUAAACAGGGUCCAUCUCCAAUUAUUCUCCAUCCACAGAUUUGGAAAUUGGAAGUUAGAACCUUGGACUUGCCCUUUAUUCCAGAUUAAAUCCAUCAAACUGCAGCACAACUUUUGAGUUGGUUUAGACUGUCUUUUCCACUCAACAGCCUAAUUAAAGUUAAUUUAGUACCUGCAAAUAAUAAUUUUAGUAUCACAUUUUAGUAUAAAAUAUAUUAUAAUAAUUUGAUGUGGGCGAGAUAAAUAGUUAAUUAAAAAAUAUAUAUUACGUACAAUGUUGUGUUUGGAUUGCAUUUUUCGUGAUUUUUUAUGAAAAAAUUACUGUAACAAUUUGAUGUAUAUGAGAAAAAAAGAUAAUAUGUAAAUGUGAUCACGAAAAACGAUGUAAUUUUUUAUGAAACCGGCAAUCCAAACAAAUUCUUUUGAAAAAAAAAUUGACAUUCCAAUUGGUUUCUGCAUUAAAUGAGAUGUCUCUGGCCUUCUGCCAGCUAAAGUGGAUAGUUUAGACAGGUGUUAUACAUUCAAUAGAGUGUUAGUACCUCAAAAGAUAGAUGGAAUGGCGUCUGAAAAGUGAAAUUCCUUUUUCUUUAUUCCUAGAACUGACUUUCUUCCAUCAAGUUAGGGUUUGACGUCUAUUGCUCCAACUCAUAUACAAGCCUGAUUAUUAGAUUUUGUUUGGAAAGUCAUUUUUCGUCAAAAACAAAUUUUUACGUUAUUUUUAAUAAUUUUUUUAUUUCAUAUAUAUUAUAUUAUUAUAUUAUAAUUUUUAAUAAAAAUUUUAAAAAAUUCCACGCAUCAAAAUUCCAAUGAUGUUAGAGAGAAUAGAAUCCGCAAUAAAUGUUGAUAUUAUUAUUUUUACAGUAGUUUCUUUCUUAAACGAAUGAUGGACAAAGAAUCUAAAUUGGAACUCGUAAAUAAUUAAAUUUUUUGACGUGGCACAACCACCUUCAAUCCUAUUUCCCAAAUGUAGCUGACAAAGAACUCAACGAGCCGCACCAGAUAGUUUCUUCUUCAUCACAAAAACCGCCAAAAUUACAAGUGUCCCAUACCCAAGUGGACCCCACUAAUCCUAUCCCUGCACACGGGAAUCAUCGACCGUCCCCUGGACCCCACUUCACAUGCUCCCCUCUUCCUCAUUGGAUAUUUCCCGAUAAAAGAAAGAAAUCGAUAUUUGCUAAAUGGCACCGCAUAUUUUGCUUUGCAAAAGAAUUUAUUUUGUUUCUUUUUUCUCACAAUUUGAUACUUGAAACUAUUAAAAUCUUGCGUCUUUUUCAGCACGAUAAAUCACCCUAAAUCAACCCAUUGUAAUAUGACAAGUUUCUUUGGUAAUUUGCAAUAAAUAUUAUUAAUCAUAUUCUUAUUUUAUAGAAAAUUUUAUAUGUGCAGUAUUUCAUAUUUUUUUCGCUGAUUAAUCCACUUAUCAUAAGUUGAAAUUUAGUGCUUGCUUUAAAAUUACAUUCACGUGAUUUAUAGGCAUCAUUAUGUAUAAAAUUGUAGUCCAAAAUUUAGUAAACAUGAGAUGCAUGUUAGAUAAAUUAAAUUGCUUCAUGUUAAACAUGAUAAAUUGAAACUAAACUUUUUUGUAAAUUUAGGAACUAGUUAGGGCAAAUGGGCUACGAUGACUAAAAUAUAGGAUCGUAGAUUACAUUUGGCGAUAAAUUAAAUUUCUUCAAUGUAAACUUUUGAUAGAUUGAAAUUAAACUUUUGAUAGAUGCAAGGGACUAGAUUAGAAAUUGCCCAAACUCAAAAGCAAAAACUAUAGAAACUUUCACCGUCAUUGAGUAAAAUUACAAUUUUGCCCCAGCCGGCAUUUUCUAUAUAUGUCAGUCUCGCUCAUCGGCCACCCUCCAUCUUCCAUUUCCAUGACCUUCACAUUUCUAGAGAGAGAAAGUGUUUCUGUGUCCGUUAGAUAAAUUUUGGAGAUAGAAAAUUUUGGGGGUUUGGGUUUCGGAGUUAGAUAUCAAAUAUGUUGGGAGUGUUUAGCAGUUCAAUAAUGUCGCCGCCGGAUGAGCUGGUGGCAGCAGGUAGCCGGACACCGUCGCCGAAGAUCACAGCGGCGGCGCUGGUGAAUCGGUUUUUACAAACCAAUUCCUCGGCGGUGUCGAUGCAGAUCGGCGAUGAUGCCCAGUUAGCUUAUACUCAUCACAACGAGUCACCUUUACACCCCAGGUAAUAAAAUUACCAAUCAGUUCGAGAAACGUAAAAUCAAGAAAAAAUUAAGUUAGUAAAUAGAUGGACAGGGAAAUUCAAGGGAAAAAAAAAUAUGUUUGGUGAGCUGACUUAGGAGUAAAGUAGUAGUGAUCUUGGCCGUUUGACGAGAUGAUGAUGAUGAUUAAGAAUCAAAAGGUGGGGGACUGGUUGAUCAGAAUUUGAUGGGUCUGUAUGGAAUGCAUGGAAUAUUGACAUCGCGAUGAAUCUUUUGGAUAUAUUUGAUUAUAAAAUUCCUGAAGUGGGUUUCUGUAUUUCUUUAGAUUUAUGUUACUCAAGAAUCUGAUAAUUUUCUGGAUAUACAUAAGCUUUCUGGAGCUAAGCUUAUUAUAAUAAAACUAGAAUAAACUAAAAACUCUAUAGUAUUGUAGUAAUAAACUACAAACUCUAUAAUCUUGUAAGCUGGUUAGUAAUCACCAUGGAGGUUCUUUCUAUGUUGUGGAUAAUUAUAUGUCUUUUUUCUUGUGAUUUUAUCCAUGUACUGGUUUGUUAGCAUCUCUCAGCUCAGCUUUGGCAACAAAUAUUUCUUGAGCGGUUGUGAUUUAGAUGAUGAUGACGACAUAAGUUUUUGAGUCAUGGAAGUCACCGAUUCCAAGAUUUUUUGAGUCCAGUUGUCCAAAUUUUCCUCGCUCUCUUGCCACGUAUUGGAAUCUGUAUAUAUCACACUUUGUACUACCUUCUCUCUCUUUGUCUGUUUUUUUUAAAAAAAAAAAAAAAAAAAUUUGUGGAUCCUUCUUUGUUACCUCGGGUUGUAUGGUGUCUUGAUUCCAAAACUUCUGGUACCACAUACGUUAGAUUGCAGCCAUACACGUGUCAAUCUUUAGAGGAGUAAAAGGCAACAUGCCAAAAAAAAAUCUGAUAGUUUAGUCAGAAAACAUUAAGCCAAUUCAAUUUUUGCCUAAAAAAGUCUGCUUAGUAAUCGUGUCAAGUAAAAAGCGUGAUAUUCUUUAGGUACUCGUAAUCUUCGGUGACCAUGUUCUGGUUUAGAUUUUAUCUCCAAAAGUUGGGCCCUCCUUUAAUCCGGAGCCUUGGUAGACCCUACUAGAAUCCUUAUCUAGUCUCUAUGCCAAUCAUGACGGCUCAAAAUGGCAGUCUUUCAAAGUUUGGAUGAAGCCGUGUAACGCUAGCACUUUGUCUAGGUUAAUUGCAAAAUAAUUAUUUUCUUGGAAAUAUAUGGUGGCUUGUAUUAUUCUAAUGGUGACGAUGAUAGGCAACUACUUUUCCACAAGUGGUUUGGAAAAUAUAUAUAAAAAGAAGGUUUUGUUGGUUAUGACUAGUGACUAGUUGUUUCUGGUAACAAGUUCUCUUACUGAAAUUCUAAGCAAAAAUUGACAGUUACCCACUAGUUUAACUCUUACCUACCGUGCGAUGAUCUGAUGAAUUUUUUUGAAAGUGACGCGUGAAGCUAACUUGGCCAUAAAAAUUUGCAGGUCAUUCGCAGUUAAGGAUGACAUAUUUUGCCUGUUUGAGGGAGCACUUGAUAAUCUAGGGAGUCUGAAGCAACAAUACGGGCUUUCAAAGUCUGCAAAUGAGGUGGUUUUGAUGAUUGAAGCAUACAAGGCGCUUCGUGACAGGGCACCUUACCCUCCAAACCAUGUUGUUGGCCACCUAGAAGGGAAUUUUGCAUUUAUUGUCUUCGACAAGGCCACCUCCACCUUGUUUGUGGCUACUGUGAGUGAUCUUCAAUCUCCUUACCUAACAAUUUGACUUCAUUGAAAUGUUUUAUUGCAUUUAAUCCAGCGGGUGUGGUUGGUGAUGUUGUGACAGGAUGAAAAGGCUAAGGUUCCUCUAUAUUGGGGAAUCACUGCUGAUGGAUGGGUAGCAUUUGCAGAUGAUGCUGACUUGCUUAAAGGUGCUUGUGGCAAGUCCCUUGCAUCUUUCCCUCAAGGUAAAUUUGAUUCUUAGGCGCUUAAGUUAGCCAUCAUCAAAGAAUUGAUUCUUUUCAAUUAAUGAAUACAUUAACUGCUUUUUUUUUUUUGGGUUAGUACAUCUUUCGUUUCAAAUUCCUUUGCUAUCUUGUAAUGUACGUUGAUGUCUGUUCGUUUGUUCAGGUUGCUUCUUCUCCACAGCUUUGGGUGAACUGAGAAGCUAUGAGAAUCCAAAGAAUAAGAUCACUGCAAUUCCAGCUAAAGAGGAAGAAAUAUGGGGAGCAAAGUUCAUGGUAAACAGAUGAGAUUCUCUCUAUGUUACCAGCCAAGUAAUACAGUCGACCUACGCAAAGGAAAAAGAAAAAAAUUGUGCAAACCAUUUUUUUUCUUUUUUUUGGAAUCCAGGAGUGUAUAUAUAUAUACUCAGUGAGGUCAUUUGGUGAUACUGAAAUUUGUUCUCUUUUGUAACCUCUUUUUGGUGAUAUUUUUCCAGGUGGAAGGGCCAGCAGUAUUUGCAGCCACAAAAUAGAAGUUCAUAAUCUCCUCCACCUGCAAUGUGCAAGUUGCUGCUAAAAGACAGGAAAACAGUGGAAGGGGGAUUGGAGAGGGAGGGAGGGAGGGAGGGAGGGAGGGGGUUGAUCUCUGGGACCAUGUAAAAAUUAGUGGAGCUGUCUUUCCCUUAGUAGCUGUUGUUAUUACUUCCUUGAAUGAAUGAAUGAGGAUGGUGCCGACUUAGGUACUGUUAAGGUUCUAGAGUUGGUUGUUUGCUUGCCCAAGUAGUUCCUUCUCUUCUCUUCAUGUAGCGGUUCGCUGGUUCCAAUGCUUUGCUUCCUUUGGAAUUUGUACAGUUCACCUUUUUUCUCUAUAAAUUACUAAUAAAAGCUCAGUUUACCUUUUUUUUUUUUUUUUUUUUAAAGAUGGAGGUCUUGAACACACGUACUAUUUACAAUUUCUUCUGUUUUAUUAUUUAAUCUAAUUC